This 382-nucleotide ribosomal RNA is filed under the name uncultured bacterium. RNAcentral describes it as "bacterial SSU rRNA". It matches the Rfam family "Bacterial small subunit ribosomal RNA", at positions 28 to 408 of the family's 1533-position model. The record is from RNAcentral.
GACGAACGCUGGCGGCGUGCUUAACACAUGCAAGUCGAGCGGUAAGGCCCUUUCGGGGGUACGACGAGCGGCGAACGGGUGAGUAACACGUGGGUGACCUGCCCUCAGCUCUGGGAUAAGCCUGGGAAACCGGGUCUAAUACUGGAUAUGACUCCAUGACGCAUGUUGUGGGGUGGAAAGCCUUGUGCGGCUGAGGAUGGGCCCGCGGCCUAUCAGCUUGUUGGUGGGGNGAUGGCCUACCAAGGCGACGACGGGUAGCCGGCCUGAGAGGGCGGACCGGCCACACUGGGACUGAGACACGGCCCAGACUCCUACGGGAGGGCAGCAGUGGGGAAUCUUGCGCAAUGGGCGAAAGCCUGACGCAGCGACGCCGCGUGAGGGA